Non-coding RNA from Xyrichtys novacula (pearly razorfish), 1616 nucleotides. Lineage: Eukaryota; Metazoa; Chordata; Actinopteri; Labriformes; Labridae. The record is from the annotation of a GenBank genome assembly.
GCUGAACAUGAACACACACACACACACACCCUCCACCCCCCCACUAACUUGGCCCUCAGGGACCCACUGCAGCAUCUGUUCGCUCACUCCCUGUGCCAGACUGAGCCCCUUUCUGCAAACAGACUGACUGACAGAGAAGGAAGAGGACCAUCAGAGAACCAGUCCAGCUGUCUAGGUCCAACCUGUGGCCUUCAGCUUGGUUUUCUCUUGUGUUGCCAGAUCUAUCCAGCGUUUAGGCCAAAACCCCCAAAACAGACAAACAGCGAAUUCUGGAAUCCUGAAACUGCAGUUCUCUGAGUGUCCACUAGAGGCUGCCUCCACUGUGACUUUGUCCCAUAGACUGUAUAGACUACAAGCAAUUUGGUUCCACCUUACUCCACUAUACAGUUUUAAAGCCGAAGCUCUCUGUAAUUCCACGUUUAUUUUCUAUUUCCUGAAACCAACAUUGCGCAGUAGCGUUGUGCGUAUUUGGUGGGAGAGUCGCCUAGAGUCGCUGUGAUGAAGUUCGGCUCAAAAAGCGUAUCCCUCGGGUGAGCUACUCAAUCUUAGUACGCCCAUAGGCUGUAUCAGGUGUCAAUCAUAGAAAACAUGAACCCCCUAAUAACUUUUAAAAAUGGAGCUGUACAAAAAAAAAGAGAACUUGAGCACAAACCAGUCUGACAGUAACUACAUGUCAACAUCACAACCAGCCUAUAUUCUGUGUCAUUAAUUUCUAAAGUUUGUCCACAGCUCCAUGAGGAGGCGGGAUUUAUGACCUAUACUGCAGCCCGUCACCAGAGGGCGCUGUUCUCGGAGUGGCUUCACCCAGAGAGGAGGCAGAUGGCUUCCAUUCUAGAUACAGUCUAUGGUGCUGAGCAGAGGACCCAACAGUGUCCCCCUAACAUCUGUCAGAGCGGUUCUGAUGACUUCAGAAUUCGUAGGAAUGUUCGGUAAUGUCACAGAUGUUCCCGGACUGUUCCAGUAUGUUUUCAGAAGUCCAAAAUCUUCUCAAACAUUCCAGAAUGUUAUUGAUCUUUUAGAAUGUCUUUGAUGUACAGAAUGUUAUUGAUCUUUUAGAAUGUCUUUGAUGUACGGAUUGUUAUUGGUCUUUCAGAAUGUCUUUAAUCUUCCACAAUGUUCGGUGAUAUUCUAGAAUGUUCUACAUCCUCCAGAGCGUCACCACCAUAGACUGUAUAUACUACGGACAACUUGGUUCCACCUUCCGCCAGUACUCUGUAUGCAGUCUACGAGAACAAUCAAAAAGGAAACAGCCAAACAGGUAUUUACUCACUUUUAGAGGCAGCCUCGAGUGGACACUUGAGGAACUGCAGUUUUUUAUGGACCUCAUUUUGGAGACAAAAGAUCAAAGAAUAAAAACAUUUAUUUUAUAUUAGCCAAAGGAAUCCUGGACCAGCAUAGACACAUCAGACUUUUCUCUUCUGCCCUCUAGGAGGCGCUACUAUGCCCCUCCAAGAGGAACAAAUAGGUACUCGGACUCAUUUAUCCCCUCGGAGAUCAAGCUGAUAAACGCUGAGAAGUAGCAGAUUGGUGGCCUGUGUCUGAUUUUGGGAUCUCAGGAUUGUUUUAGUUCUUAUUUUACUCAUUUUAGUAUUUCCAUUGUAAACGUAUUGCACAUG